RNAcentral lists this long non-coding RNA (438 nucleotides) under Homo sapiens (human). RNAcentral describes it as "HSALNT0337873". The record is from RNAcentral. Lineage: Eukaryota; Metazoa; Chordata; Mammalia; Primates; Hominidae.
AGGAGAAUUGACAAGUCUGAGCAGAAGAAGCACAGAUAUCAAAAGGCAAAGGAGGAGGAAGACUUGGAAAAACAAAAGGUAGCGACUAAGUUGUCUGAGUCUGAUCUGACAUGAACAAAACAAACCAAGCUGUAAUCCCAAGCCAUCUCUAAGUAUGUUCAUUCUGGAGUCCAGACAUUCUGAAAACCAAAUGGAAGAAAAGGAGCCAAGGUGACUAAGAAGGAUCAGCCAGAAAGGAAUGAGGAAAAGCAGGAGUGCCCAGAACCUCAAAAGCUGAGAGAAAGUGAACUUCAAAGAACAGAAGUGCAUCUGGGUAGAUAUCCUAAAGACUUGAAAUCAGUAUGUGGAAGAGGCAUCUGCAUUGCUAUGUUCAUUGCAGCAUUAUUCACAAUAACCCAGAUGUUGAAUCAACCUAAGUGUCUAUCCAUAGAUGAAUGA